UACGUAGGCAGCAAGCGUUGUUCGGAGUUACUGGGCGUAAAGAGCGCGCAGGCGGUCGUUCAAGUCGCGUGUGAAAGCCCCCGGCUCAACUGGGGAGGGUCACGCGAUACUGAUCGACUCGAAGGCAGGAGAGGGUAGUGGAAUUCCCGGUGUAGUGGUGAAAUGCGUAGAUAUCGGGAGGAACACCAGUGGCGAAGGCGACUACCUGGCCUGUUUCUUGACGCUGAGGCGCGAAAGCUAGGGGAGCAAACGGG
Molecule: ribosomal RNA, 254 nt
Filed under: uncultured bacterium
Lineage: Bacteria
Description: partial 16S ribosomal RNA
Rfam family: Bacterial small subunit ribosomal RNA
Source: RNAcentral